UACGUAGGGUGCAAGCGUUGUCCGGAAUUAUUGGGCGUAAAGAGCUCGUAGGCGGUUUGUUGCGUCGGCUGUGAAAUCCCGAGGCUCAACCUCGGGUCUGCAGUCGAUACGAGCAAACUAGAGUGUUGCAGGGGAGACUGGAAUUCCUGGUGUAGCGGUGAAAUGCGCAGAUAUCUGGAGGAACACCAGUGGCGAAGGCGGCUUCCUGGCCUGUAACUGACGCUGAGACGCGAAAGCGUGGGGAGCGAACCGG
Molecule: ribosomal RNA, 253 nt
Filed under: uncultured bacterium
Lineage: Bacteria
Description: partial 16S ribosomal RNA
Rfam family: Bacterial small subunit ribosomal RNA
Source: RNAcentral